AGUAACGCGUGAGGAACCUGCCUCAAAGAGGGGGACAACAGUUGGAAACGACUGCUAAUACCGCAUAAGCCCACAGCUCGGCAUCGAGCAGAGGGAAAAGGAGUGAUCCGCUUUGAGAUGGCCUCGCGUCCGAUUAGCUAGUUGGUGAGGUAAUGGCCCACCAAGGCGACGAUCGGUAGCCGGACUGAAAGGUUGAACGGCCACAUUGGGACUGAGACACGGCCCAG
This 227-nucleotide ribosomal RNA is filed under the name uncultured bacterium. RNAcentral describes it as "partial 16S ribosomal RNA". It matches the Rfam family "Bacterial small subunit ribosomal RNA", at positions 109 to 334 of the family's 1533-position model. The record is from RNAcentral.